GGCUCAGUGGUCCAGUGGUAAAGCGCUUGUCGCGGAACCAGAGGGUCCUGGAUUCGAUCCCCAACGGGGUCG
This 72-nucleotide transfer RNA is filed under the name Schistosoma japonicum. RNAcentral describes it as "tRNA-Pro". The record is from RNAcentral. Lineage: Eukaryota; Metazoa; Platyhelminthes; Trematoda; Strigeidida; Schistosomatidae.